This is a non-coding RNA of Peromyscus maniculatus bairdii (prairie deer mouse), 553 nucleotides long. NCBI's taxonomy places the organism in Eukaryota, Metazoa, Chordata, Mammalia, Rodentia, Cricetidae. The record is from RefSeq and is a predicted model, not a curated record.
CCUGGAUGGGGGCGAGGGAGCAGAUCUGUGCCAGACAUCCCGAGGUGCUGUCCCUAUCUAUCCCUGGGGGACUGAGGGAAGCAUCUGGCCUAGUGAAGCCCAAACCACCAAGUAAAAGGCCAAGAUCAACUGUGCAUCCUGAUGAUGCUCGCUUUAAAUGACCCUUCGGAGACUGUAGAUGUAACGGUCUUAGCAGGACUGGAGAAAACUUCAGCUACAGGAGACUUAAUGGGAAGAGACGAGGCUGCAACUUCAAAACAUCACAGAGGAGCUGUGGGGCGCUUCCUUCAAGCGAAAAGGUGCAAUCCUGCACAGUAAGGAAAAGUAUGAGCCCACAGGUGGUUGAACCCUUGGGUGUGGAACCACAAAUACAGAAGAGAGCCAUCUUAUUCUGCUACAUCAGCCAGAAGUGACUGCCAUUUCCUCCGCCUACUGUGUCUCUUGACUCUGGCCCCUGAGGGCUGCCCUUGAACCCCAAUGAGAGUCUUCUCCGAAGACUGACUGACACCUGUGGGACUAGGUGCUGGGCAGAGAAUGCAGAUAAGACCCACCU